This 209-nucleotide long non-coding RNA is filed under the name Physcomitrium patens. RNAcentral describes it as "long non-coding RNA (PPAT_LNC011096)". The record is from RNAcentral. Lineage: Eukaryota; Viridiplantae; Streptophyta; Bryopsida; Funariales; Funariaceae.
GGAGGUUAUAUAUUAUUUUACUAUUAAACAUCUUCUCUAGAAUAGUAUAUGUAAGAUUUGCUAGUACCAUAAUCAUGUGAGUGAUGUUUUGUAUGUAUAUCAAAAUAUCAUCAAUUAUUUGCAUCUUGUAGUCAAAAACAUUUCUUUGAAGAGUAAAAAUACUUUCAAGAGUCUUCUUCAAGUGAAGACAUUUAUCUUAGUAAAAUAUC